GACGAACGCUGGCGGCGUGCUUAACACAUGCAAGUCGAACGAAGAGCGAUGGAAGCUUGCUUCUAUCAAUCUUAGUGGCGAACGGGUGAGUAACGCGUAAUCAACCUGCCCUUCAGAGGGGGACAACAGUUGGAAACGACUGCUAAUACCGCAUACGAUCUAAUCUCGGCAUCGAGGAUAGAUGAAAGGUGGCCUCUACAUGUAAGCUAUCACUGAAGGAGGGGAUUGCGUCUGAUUAGCUAGUUGGCGGGGUAACGGCCCACCAAGGCGAUGAUCAGUAGACGGUCUGAGAGGAUGAACGGCCACAUUGGGACUGAGACACGGCCCAGACUCCUACGGGAGGCAGCAGUGGGGAAUCUUCCGCAAUGGACGAAAGUCUGACGGAGCAACGCCGCGUGAGUGAUGACGGCCUUCGGGUUGUAAAGCUCUGUUAAUCGGGACGAAAGGCCUUCUUGCGAAUAGUGAGAAGGAUUGACGGUACCGGAAUAGAAAGCCACGGCUAACUACGUG
Molecule: ribosomal RNA, 510 nt
Filed under: uncultured bacterium
Lineage: Bacteria
Description: partial 16S ribosomal RNA
Rfam family: Bacterial small subunit ribosomal RNA
Source: RNAcentral